This is a non-coding RNA of Planctomyces sp. SH-PL62, 367 nucleotides long. It matches the Rfam family "transfer-messenger RNA". From Rfam's summary of the family: Bacterial tmRNA, also known as 10Sa RNA or SsrA, is named for its dual tRNA and mRNA-like properties. Its role is to liberate the mRNA from a stalled ribosome. Lineage: Bacteria; Pseudomonadati; Planctomycetota; Planctomycetia; Planctomycetales; Planctomycetaceae. The record is from Rfam.
GGGGGCGAACCAGGAUCGACCGGAUGUCCGAAGUGAACGGUGGCGUGCCGAGGUUGGUCAGCAGGCCUCGUAAAAAGCCGACCGAAAUUUAGCUGCCAACAACACUGUUGGUCUCCGUCUCGCUGCCUAAAAAACAGCAACGGCCCUGCGACGAGUCUUCUCCCGAGAGACCCGGCCAGGGACGCCAAUUCGGGAUCGCCUAGGCCAAACCGCUUGUUGAGGCCGAGGCUAAAUUCAUGACGAGCUAAGCCGAAAGGGAUCCUGCCGACCGGAGCCCUGACGCCGACAACUAAAUGACCGGCUACGCACGUAGAGGCCCUCGCCGACGCUUCUCGGGACGCGGGUGCAAUUCCCGCCGCCUCCACUA